UGGGGAAUAUUGCACAAUGGGGGAAACCCUGAUGCAGCGACGCCGCGUGGAGGAAGAAGGUCUUCGGAUUGUAAACUCCUGUUGUUGGGGAAGAUAAUGACGGUACCCAACAAGGAAGUGACGGCUAACUACGUGCCAGCAGCCGCGGUAAAACGUAGGUCACAAGCGUUGUCCGGAAUUACUGGGUGUAAAGGGAGAGUAGGCGGGAUUGCAAGUCCGUUGUUAAAUCUAUCGGCCUAACCGGUAGCUGCGGCGGAAACUGUAGUUCUUGAGUGAAGUAGAGGCAGGCGGAAUUCCUAGUGUAGCGGUGAAAUGCGUAGAUAUUAGGAGGAACACCAGUGGCGAAGGCGGCCUGCUGGGCUUUAACUGACGCUGAGGCUCGAAAGUGUGGGGAGCAAACAGGAUUAGAU
Molecule: ribosomal RNA, 410 nt
Filed under: uncultured Faecalibacterium sp.
Lineage: Bacteria; Bacillati; Bacillota; Clostridia; Eubacteriales; Oscillospiraceae
Description: bacterial SSU rRNA
Rfam family: Bacterial small subunit ribosomal RNA
Source: RNAcentral